GACGAACGCUGGCGGCGUGCCUAAUACAUGCAAGUAGAACGCUGAAGGAGGAGCUUGCUCUUCUGGAUGAGUUGCGAACGGGUGAGUAACGCGUAGGUAACCUGCCUGGUAGUGGGGGAUAACUAUUGGAAACGAUAGCUAAUACCGCAUAAUAACAGUUGUUGCAUGACAACUGUUUGAAAGGUGCAAUUGCAUCACUACCAGAUGGACCUGCGUUGUAUUAGCUAGUUGGUGGGGUAACGGCUCACCAAGGCGACGAUACAUAGCCGACCUGAGAGGGUGAUCGGCCACACUGGGACUGAGACACGGCCCAGACUCCUACGGGAGGCAGCAGUAGGGAAUCUUCGGCAAUGGACGAAAGUCUGACCGAGCAACGCCGCGUGAGUGAAGAAGGUUUUCGGAUCGUAAAGCUCUGUUGUAAGAUAAGAACGAGUGUGA
This 438-nucleotide ribosomal RNA is filed under the name Streptococcus sp. oral taxon C56. RNAcentral describes it as "bacterial SSU rRNA". It matches the Rfam family "Bacterial small subunit ribosomal RNA", at positions 28 to 458 of the family's 1533-position model. Lineage: Bacteria; Bacillati; Bacillota; Bacilli; Lactobacillales; Streptococcaceae. The record is from RNAcentral.